Salvia splendens (bonfire salvia) is the source of this 1428-nucleotide long non-coding RNA. RefSeq lists it as uncharacterized. The record is from RefSeq and is a predicted model, not a curated record. The transcript is spliced from 4 exons. NCBI's taxonomy places the organism in Eukaryota, Viridiplantae, Streptophyta, Magnoliopsida, Lamiales, Lamiaceae.
UUAUGUAGUGACACAUAAUCACUAUGCGUCUUUAAAGACACAACACAAUUGUGCAUCUUUCUUAAAUGACGCAUAAUACUUAUGCAUCUUUCCCUAGCAACGCAUAAUACUUAUGCGUCUUCCGUCGGGUUUUAAAACAGGCAGAAGGCUUCGCACAGAGCAGAAGCAGCGAACAAACAUGCAGAAUUCGUCUAGGGUCGACUUCAUCCGACGAAUCCCAGCAAUUUCCAGCGAAUUUCCAUCAUUUUCAAACAUAUUCCGAUGCCCUCUGCAAGUUCUGAAGAACAGUUAUGUUAUGGACCUGAGGAUCCAUCAUUACUCUUUCAUCAAAACGAACACAUUUCAGCCUCAUUGUUGGCAAAUGGCACAACAAAUGUUUUGAGAGUUCGUAGGAUGGAAAGUAAGGUUUGAGCAGUGCCAAUACAUGAAAAUGUGAAGUAUUGGUUUGAUGUAUGGGGUUUCAAAGGUGUGUUGGAAUGUGAAAGGCCGAUGAGGAUGGACAACGAGCUUAUAACUGCCUUGAUCGAGCGCUGGAGGCCUGAGACACACUGUUUCCACCUACCAGUUGGAAAAAGUUACCGUAACCUUACAGGAUGUGCAAAGCCUGUGGGGUUUGAGAGCAGAGGGUCGUGUUUUCACUGGCCGUGACUACCCUAUCGGAUAUGAAGAUUGGCCCAGCAAGCGUCGAGAUGUGUUGGGAUGGAUACCUAACGUAGAAACUAAAACGAAGCAGGGCGAUUUGUUAAUGACAUCUCUUAUCCACCAAGCGACGAUACCUUUGGGUGAUGGGCUGCAUGAUUAUGCAUACAUCCAAAGAGCACGUAUACAUGCUCUGAUCUUGUUAGGGGGGCUUAUUAUACCGGACACCACAGGCUGCAAGGUCCCCUUUAUGUGGUUAAAUGCCUUUGACGAUCCGGAAGAAGUGUCUACUAUCAGUUGGGGUAGUGCUGCUUUAGCAUUAUUUGUGUGAGGCUUCUGUAGGCAGGCAGAAAAGAGAUGUGGGUGGACCUAUGGUUCUUUUGCAGUUGUGGGCGUGGGAAAGAAUGCCCACAUUGAGGCCAUCCUUUUUUAUAUCGCCUAUGCACACGCCGUAUACCCCGUGUGGAGCCAAGUGGCACGGAGUUACUGAAAUUGGAAAUGCUCCCCGACAUUCAGUAGCUCAUUAUUGUGAUCAAUUAUCACUGAUUCGUCCCGGCCAGGAACUCCGACAUUGAGCCAGCCAAUGGUCAAACAAAGAUGAGAGGACGAGCUGCAAGUGCCGUGAAGAGCAAGAAAGACCGCCCGAAAAUGCGACGUCAAGGCCCGCCCAUUUCAAGGACUUCACGCCUCAUUAGAGAUUACAAGGGAUAUUUUCCUUAUUUUAGUUUAUUGCUGCAGAUCUUAUUUUCCAUAUUUUGAACGAUCUUUGCUUAGUUUAGAAUUGAUAAA